CAAAUACACCCUCAGUCCCUAAAUACAUGUCUUAGAUUUGUAUAGAUAUGAAUGUAUCUAGCCACAUUUUAGUAUUUUGAUACAACCAUUUCUAGACAAACCUAAGACAACAAUUUUGGGACACAGGGAGUAAUUC
Molecule: non-coding RNA, 136 nt
Organism: Hordeum vulgare subsp. vulgare (domesticated barley)
Lineage: Eukaryota; Viridiplantae; Streptophyta; Magnoliopsida; Poales; Poaceae
Source: Rfam